AUUGAACGCUGGCGGCAGGCCUAACACAUGCAAGUCGAGCGAGCGGCGGACGGGUGAGUAAUGUCUGGGAAACUGCCUGAUGGAGGGGGAUAACUACUGGAAACGGUAGCUAAUACCGCAUACCAUCGGAUGUGCCCCGGUGGGAUUAGCUAGUAGGUGGGGUAACGGCGCACCUAGGCGACGAUCCCUAGCUGGUCUGAGAGGAUGACCAGCCACACUGGAACUGGGACCCGGUCCAGACUCCGAAGGGCGGCAGCAGUGGGGAAUAUUGCACAAUGGGCGAAAGCCGGAUGCCGCCAUGCCGCGUGUGUGAAGAAGGCUUUCGGGUUGUAAAGCACUUUCAGCGUGGAGGCGUUACCCGCAGAAGAAGCACCGGCUAACUCCGUGCCAGCAGCCGCGGUAAUAC
Molecule: ribosomal RNA, 406 nt
Filed under: uncultured bacterium
Lineage: Bacteria
Description: partial 16S ribosomal RNA
Rfam family: Bacterial small subunit ribosomal RNA
Source: RNAcentral